GGAGGGUGCAAGCGUUGUUCGGAAUUAUUGGGCGUAAAGGGCGCGUAGGCGGGCGUGAAAGUCGACUGUGAAAGCCCCGGGCUUAACCUGGGAACUGCAGCCGAUACUACAUGUCUUGAGUGCUUGAGAGGAUGGUGGAAUUCCUGGUGUAGAAGUGAAAUUCGUAGAUAUCAGGAGGAACAUCGUUGGCGAAGGCGGCCAUCUGGCAAGACACUGACGCUGAGGCGCGAAAGCGCGGGGAGCAAACAGGAUUAGAUACCCUGGUAGUCCGCGCCGUAAACGAUGGAUACUAGAUGUUCGGAGAGUUAACCCUCUGAGUAUCAAAGCUAACGCAUUAAGUAUCCCGCCUGGGGAGUACGGCCGCAAGGCUA
Molecule: ribosomal RNA, 371 nt
Filed under: uncultured bacterium
Lineage: Bacteria
Description: bacterial SSU rRNA
Rfam family: Bacterial small subunit ribosomal RNA
Source: RNAcentral